Molecule: non-coding RNA, 45 nt
Filed under: Schistosoma mansoni
Lineage: Eukaryota; Metazoa; Platyhelminthes; Trematoda; Strigeidida; Schistosomatidae
Source: RNAcentral
AUCCAACUGAAGAAUUUCAAGUAGGAAGAAACGCGUGUCCUGGAU